CGCUGGCGGCACGCCUUAUACAUGCAAGUCGAACGAAGUAGCAAUACUUAGUGGCAGACGGGUGAGUAACAUGUAGGUAUCUUCCCUUUGGUGAGGAAUAACACGAGGAAACUUGUGCUAAUACCUCAUAAGUCUUUACGGAGAAAGCUUUAUGCGCCGAAGGAUGAGCCUGCACUUGAUUAGUUUGUUGGUGGGGUAAUGGCCUACCAAGACUUUGAUCUAUAGCUGAUCUGAGAGGAUGAUCAGCCACAUUGGGACUGAGACACGGCCCAAACUCCUACGGGAGGCAGCAGUAGGGAAUAUUGCACAAUGGAGGAAACUCUGAUGCAGCGAUGCCGCGUGAGUGAAGAAGGCCUUUGGGUUGUAAAGCUCUUUCGUCGGGGAAGAAAAUGACUGUACCCGAAUAAGAAGGUCCGGCUAACUUCGUGCCAGCAGCCGCGGUAAUACGAAGGGACCUAGCGUAGUUCGGAAUUACUGGGCUUAAAGAGUUCGUAGGUGGUUAAAAAAGUUGGUGGUGAAAUCCCAGAGCUUAACUCUGGAACUGCCAUCAAAACUUUUUAGCUAGAGUAUGAUAGAGGAAAGCAGAAUUUCUAGUGUAGAGGUGAAAUUCGUAGAUAUUAGAAAGAAUACCAAUUGCGAAGGCAGCUUUCUGGAUCAUUACUGACGCUGAGGAACGAAAGCAUGGGUAGCGAAGAGGAUUAGAUACCCUCGUAGUCCAUGCCGUAAACGAUGUGUGUUAGACGUUGGAAAUUUAUUUUCAGUGUCGCAGCGAAAGCAUUAAACACACCGCCUGGGGAGUACGACCG
Molecule: ribosomal RNA, 806 nt
Filed under: uncultured Pelagibacteraceae bacterium
Lineage: Bacteria; Pseudomonadati; Pseudomonadota; Alphaproteobacteria; Candidatus Pelagibacterales; Candidatus Pelagibacteraceae
Description: bacterial SSU rRNA
Rfam family: Bacterial small subunit ribosomal RNA
Source: RNAcentral